AGCGGCGGACGGGUGAGUAACACGUGGGUAACCUGCCCAAGAGACUGGGAUAACACCUGGAAACAGAUGCUAAUACCGGAUAACAACACUAGACGCAUGUCUAGAGUUUGAAAGAUGGUUCUGCUAUCACUCUUGGAUGGACCUGCGGUGCAUUAGCUAGUUGGUAAGGUAACGGCUUACCAAGGCAAUGAUGCAUAGCCGAGUUGAGAGACUGAUCGGCCACAUUGGGACUGAGACACGGCCCAAACUCCUACGGGAGGCAGCAGUAGGGAAUCUUCCACAAUGGACGAAAGUCUGAUGGAGCAACGCCGCGUGAGUGAAGAAGGGUUUCGGCUCGUAAAGCUCUGUUGGUAGUGAAGAAAGAUAGAGGUAGUAACUGGCCUUUAUUUGACGGUAAUUACUUAGAAAGUCACGGCUAACUACGUGCCAGCAGCCGCGGUAAUACGCAGGUGGCAAGCGUUGUCCGGAUUUAUUGGGCGUAAAGCGAGUGCAGGCGGUUCAAUAAGUCUGAUGUGAAAGCCUUCGGCUCAACCGGAGAAUUGCAUCAGAAACUGUUGAACUUGAGUGCAGAAGAGGAGAGUGGAACUCCAUGUGUAGCGGUGGAAUGCGUAGAUAUAUGGAAGAACACCAGUGGCGAAGGCGGCUCUCUGGUCUGCAACUGACGCUGAGGCUCGAAAGCAUGGGUAGCGAACAGGAUUAGAUACCCUGGUAGUCCAUGCCGUAAACGAUGAGUGCUAAGUGU
This 742-nucleotide ribosomal RNA is filed under the name uncultured bacterium. RNAcentral describes it as "bacterial SSU rRNA". It matches the Rfam family "Bacterial small subunit ribosomal RNA", at positions 94 to 823 of the family's 1533-position model. The record is from RNAcentral.